AACAGGAUUAGAUACCCUGGUAGUCCAUGCCGUAAACGGUGGGUACUAGGUGUGGGUUUCCUUCCACGGGAUCCGUGCCGUAGCUAACGCAUUAAGUACCCCGCCUGGGGAGUACGGCCGCAAGGCUAAAACUCAAAGAAAUUGACGGGGGCCCGCACAAGCGGCGGAGCAUGUGGAUUAAUUCGAUGCAACGCGAAGAACCUUACCUGGGUUUGACAUACACCGGAAACCUGCAGAGAUGUAGGCCCCCUUGUGGUCGGUGUACAGGUGGUGCAUGGCUGUCGUCAGCUCGUGUCGUGAGAUGUUGGGUUAAGUCCCGCAACGAGCGCAACCCUUAUCUUAUGUUGCCAGCGCGUAAUGGCGGGGACUCGUGAGAGACUGCCGGGGUCAACUCGGAGGAAGGUGGGGACGACGUCAAGUCAUCAUGCCCCUUAUGUCCAGGGCUUCACACAUGCUACAAUGGCCGGUACAGAGGGCUGCGAUACCGCGAGGUGGAGCGAAUCCCUUAAAGCCGGUCUCAGUUCGGAUCGGGGUCUGCAACUCGACCCCGUGAAGUUGGAGUCGCUAGUAAUCGCAGAUCAGCAACGCUGCGGUGAAUACGUUCCCGGGCCUUGUACACACCGCCCGUCACGCCAUGGGAGUGGGUUGCAAAAGAAGUAGGUAGCUUAACCUUCGGGAGGGCGCUUACCACUUUGUGAUUCAUGACUGGGGUGAAGUCGUAACAAGGUAACC
RNAcentral lists this ribosomal RNA (732 nucleotides) under uncultured bacterium. RNAcentral's name for it is "bacterial SSU rRNA". It matches the Rfam family "Bacterial small subunit ribosomal RNA", at positions 771 to 1501 of the family's 1533-position model. The record is from RNAcentral.